Taeniopygia guttata (zebra finch) is the source of this 253-nucleotide non-coding RNA. The record is from RefSeq and is a predicted model, not a curated record. Lineage: Eukaryota; Metazoa; Chordata; Aves; Passeriformes; Estrildidae.
GUGUCCCGAGGCCAUUCCAGGUGUGUCCCACGCCGUGCCCAGGUGUGCCCAGGUGUGCCCAGGUGUGCCAGGUGUGCCCAGGUGUGUCAGGGCUCCAGCAUCAGCUCGCAGGCGCGUGCCAGCUCGGCCAGGCGCCGCCGGGCGUAGUCGAGCCGGUUCAGCGCCAGUUGGCAGCUCUUGCGCGCCGCGUAGCUCGAGCCCUCGUGGGGCUGCCCCGUGGCCACCUGCGGGGAGAGACGCACCUGGGCACACC